UACGUAGGUGACCAGCGUUGUCCGGAUUUACUGGGCGUAAAGAGCGCGCAGGCGGUCGUUCAAGUCGAGUGUGAAAGCCCCCGGCUCAACUGGGGAGGGUCACUCGAUACUGCUCGACUUGAAGGCAGGAGAGGGAAGCGGAAUUCCCGGUGUAGUGGUGAAAUGCGUAGAUAUCGGGAGGAACACCAGUGGCGAAGGCGGCUUCCUGGCCUGUUCUUGACGCUGAGGCGCGAAAGCUAGGGGAGCAAACGGG
Molecule: ribosomal RNA, 253 nt
Filed under: uncultured bacterium
Lineage: Bacteria
Description: partial 16S ribosomal RNA
Rfam family: Bacterial small subunit ribosomal RNA
Source: RNAcentral